GACGAACGCUGGCGGCGUGCUUAACACAUGCAAGUCGAACGGAAAGGCCCUGCUUUUGUGGGGUGCUCGAGUGGCGAACGGGUGAGUAACACGUGAGUAACCUGCCCUUGACUUUGGGAUAACUUCAGGAAACUGGGGCUAAUACCGGAUAGGAGCUCCUGCUGCAUGGUGGGGGUUGGAAAGUUUCGGCGGUUGGGGAUGGACUCGCGGCUUAUCAGCUUGUUGGUGGGGUAGUGGCUUACCAAGGCUUUGACGGGUAGCCGGCCUGAGAGGGUGACCGGCCACAUUGGGACUGAGAUACGGCCCAGACUCCUACGGGAGGCAGCAGUGGGGAAUAUUGCACAAUGGGCGGAAGCCUGAGGCAGCAACGCCGCGUGCGGGAUGACGGCCUUCGGGUUGUAAACCGCUUUCGCCUGUGACGAAGCGUGAGUGACGGUAAUGGGGAAAGAAGCACCGGCAAACUACGU
RNAcentral lists this ribosomal RNA (467 nucleotides) under uncultured bacterium. RNAcentral describes it as "partial 16S ribosomal RNA". It matches the Rfam family "Bacterial small subunit ribosomal RNA", at positions 28 to 506 of the family's 1533-position model. The record is from RNAcentral.